AACGGCCAUACCAUGCUGAAUAUACCGGUUCUCGUUAGAUCACCGAAGUCAAGCAUCAUUGGGCGCGGUCAGUACUUGGGUGGGUGACCACCUGGGAACACCGCGUGCCGUUG
Caerostris darwini is the source of this 113-nucleotide non-coding RNA. NCBI's taxonomy places the organism in Eukaryota, Metazoa, Arthropoda, Arachnida, Araneae, Araneidae. The record is from the annotation of a GenBank genome assembly.